RNAcentral lists this ribosomal RNA (58 nucleotides) under Umbilicaria calvescens. Its description in RNAcentral is "partial 26S ribosomal RNA". It matches the Rfam family "Eukaryotic large subunit ribosomal RNA", at positions 1 to 58 of the family's 3401-position model. Lineage: Eukaryota; Fungi; Ascomycota; Lecanoromycetes; Umbilicariales; Umbilicariaceae. The record is from RNAcentral.
UGACCUCGGAUCAGGUAAGGAUACCCGCUGAACUUAAGCAUAUCAAUAAGCGGAGGAA